This 248-nucleotide ribosomal RNA is filed under the name uncultured bacterium. RNAcentral's name for it is "partial 16S ribosomal RNA". It matches the Rfam family "Bacterial small subunit ribosomal RNA", at positions 523 to 770 of the family's 1533-position model. The record is from RNAcentral.
AUACGUAGGGGGCAAGCGUUAUCCGGAUUUACUGGGUGUAAAGGGAGCGUAGACGGCACUGCAAGUCUGGAGUGAAAGCCCGGGGCUCAACCCCGGGACUGCUUUGGAAACUGUGGUGCUAGAGUGCGGGAGAGGUAAGUGGAAUUCCUAGUGUAGCGGUGAAAUGCGUAGAUAUUAGGAGGAACACCAGUGGCGAAGGCGGCUUACUGGACUGUAACUGACGUUGAGGCUCGAAAGCGUGGGGAGGC